Molecule: ribosomal RNA, 490 nt
Filed under: uncultured bacterium
Lineage: Bacteria
Description: partial 16S ribosomal RNA
Rfam family: Bacterial small subunit ribosomal RNA
Source: RNAcentral
AUUGAACGCUGGCGGCAGGCCUAACACAUGCAAGUCGAACGGUAACAGGGAUCAGCUUGCUGAUUCGCUGACGAGUGGCGGACGGGUGAGUAAUGUCUGGGGAACUGCCUGAUGGAGGGGGAUAACUACUGGAAACGGUAGCUAAUACCGCAUAACGUCGCAAGACCAAAGAGGGGGACCUUCGGGCCGCUUGCCCUCGGAUGUGCCCAGAUGGGCUUUGCUAGUAGGUGGGGUAACGGCUCACCUAGGCGACGAUCCCGAGCUGGUCUGAGAGGAUGACCAGCCACACUGGAACUGAGACACGGUCCAGACUCCUACGGGAGGCAGCAGUGGGGAAUAUUGCACAAUGGGCGCAAGCCUGAUGCAGCCAUGCCGCGUGUAUGAAGAAGGCCUUCGGGUUGUAAAGUACUUUCAGCGGGGAGGAAGGGAGUAAAGUUAAUACCUUUGCUCAUUGACGUUACCCGCAGAAGAAGCACCGGCUAACUCCGUG